RNAcentral lists this ribosomal RNA (1241 nucleotides) under metagenome. RNAcentral describes it as "bacterial LSU rRNA". It matches the Rfam family "Bacterial large subunit ribosomal RNA", at positions 1564 to 2814 of the family's 2925-position model. The record is from RNAcentral.
UGAAUACGAGAUGCUACGGCGUCGAAGCAGUCUAUGUCAUACUUCCAAGAAAAGCUUGCACUGUCAUAAACAAAUAAUGCCUGUACCAUAACCGACACAGGUGGGUAGGUAGAGUAUACUAAGGGGCGCGAGAUAACUCUCUCUAAGGAACUCGGCAAAAUGACUCCGUAACUUCGGGAGAAGGAGUGCCUUAUUUUAUAAGGUUGCAAUAACAAGAUCCAAGCAACUGUUUACCAAAAACACAGGUCUCCGCUAAGUCGUAAGACGAUGUAUGGGGGCUGACGCCUGCCCAGUGCCAGAAGGUUAAAGAAGUUGGUUAGCAUCCGCGAAGCUGAUAACUGAAGCCCUGGUGAACGGCGGCCGUAACAAUAACGGUCCUAAGGUAGCGAAAUUCCUUGUCGGGUAAGUUCCGACCCGCACGAAAGGCGUAAUGAUUUGGAUACUGUCUCAGAGAGGGGCUCGGUGAAAUAGACUUGUCUGUGAAGAUGCGGACUACCUACACCAGGACAGAAAGACCCUAUGAAGCUUUACUGUAACUUGAAAUUGAAAUUGGACUUUACUUGCGCAGUAUAGGUGGGAGGCGUUGAUAAUAUUCUUGCGGGAAUGUUGGAGCCAUCAGUGAGAUACCACUCUUGUAAUGUUAGAUUUCUAACUUUGUAUCAUUAUCUGGUCAAAGGACAGUUUCAGGCGGGCAGUUUGACUGGGGCGGUCGCCUCCCAAACGGUAACGGAGGCGCACAAAGGUUUCCUCUGAACGGGUAGAAAUCGUAUCUAGAGUGUAAAGGCAUAAGGAAGCUUGACUGUGAGACCUACAAGUCGAGCAGGGACGAAAGUCGGUCUUAGUGAUCUGACGGUGCUGAGUGGAAAGGCCGUCACUCAACGGAUAAAAGUUACUCUAGGAUAACAGGCUGAUCUCCCCCAAGAGUUCACAUCGACGGGGAGGUUUGGCACCUCGAUGUCGGCUCAUCGCAUCCUGGGGCGGUAGUACGUCCCAAGGGUUGGGCUGUUCGCCCAUGAAAGCGGUACGCGAGCUGGGUUCAGAACGUCGUGAGACAGUUCGGUCCAUAUCCGGUGUAGGCGUUAGAAUAUUGAGAGGAGCCUUCUUUAGUACGAGAGGACCGAGAAGGACAUACCUCUGGUGUACCAGUUAUCGUGCCAACGGUAAACGCUGGGUAGCUAUGUAUGGAGUGGAUAACCGCUGAAAGCAUCUAAGUGGGAAGCCCACCUCAAGAUAAGUAUUCU